CGCUGGCGGCGUGCCUAACACAUGCAAGUCGAACGGUCCUUCGGGACAGUGGCGCACGGGUGAGUAACACGUAGCUAAUCUGCCCUCAAGACAGGGAUAACUGUAGGAAACUACCGCUAAUACCUGAUAAGCUCACGGUCUGUAGAGGAUUGUGAGAAAAACUCAGGUGCUUGAGGAUGGGGCUGCAAAUCAUCAGCUAGAUGGUGGGGUAAGAGCCUACCAUGGCGACGACGAUUAGGGGACCUGAGAGGGUGACCCCCCACACUGGGACUGAGACACGGCCCAGACUUCUACGGAAGGCAGCAGUGAGGAAUAUUGCACAAUGGACGCAAGUCUGAUGCAGCGACGCCGCGUGGGUGAAGAAGGUUUUCGGAUCGUAAAGCCCUUUUCUGUGUGACGAGAGUGGACGGUAAGCACAGGAAUAAGUCUCGGCUAACUACGUGCCAGCAGCCGCGGUAAAACGUAGGAGGCAAGCGUUAUCCGGAGUUACUGGGCGUAAAGCGCGUGCAGGCGGGUCGGUAAGUUACUUAUGAGAGCUCCUGGCUAAACUGGGAGAGGUUGAGUGAUACUGCCAAUCUAGAGUGGAUGAGAGGUGAAGAGAAUUCCUUGUGUAGUGGUGAAAUGCGUAGAUAUGAGGAAGAAUAUCGGUGGCGAAACGCUUCACUGGCAUCCAACUGACGCUCAGACGCGAAAGCAUGGGUAG
RNAcentral lists this ribosomal RNA (703 nucleotides) under uncultured bacterium. Its description in RNAcentral is "bacterial SSU rRNA". It matches the Rfam family "Bacterial small subunit ribosomal RNA", at positions 34 to 768 of the family's 1533-position model. The record is from RNAcentral.